This 460-nucleotide ribosomal RNA is filed under the name uncultured bacterium. Its description in RNAcentral is "partial 16S ribosomal RNA". It matches the Rfam family "Bacterial small subunit ribosomal RNA", at positions 338 to 795 of the family's 1533-position model. The record is from RNAcentral.
CCUACGGGAGGCAGCAGUGAGGAAUAUUGGUCAAUGGACGAGAGUCUGAACCAGCCAAGCAGCGUGAAGGAUGACGGCCCUAUGGGUUGUAAACUUCUUUUAUAGGGGAAUAAAACGGUCCACGUGUGUUAUUUUGUAUGUACCAUAUGAAUAAGGAUCGGCUAACUCCGUGCCAGCAGCCGCGGUAAUACGGAGGAUCCGAGCGUUAUCCGGAUUUAUUGGGUUUAAAGGGAGCGUAGGUGGAUUGUUAAGUCAGUUGUGAAAGUUUGGGGCUCAACCCGCGAAUUGCAGUUGAAACUGGCAGUCUUGAGUACAGUAGAGGUAGGCGGAAUUCGUGGUGUAGCGGUGAAAUGCUUAGAUAUCACGAAGAACUCCGAUUGCGAAGGCAGUUCACUGGACUACAACUGACGCUGAGGCUCGAAAGUGUGGGUAGCAAACAGGAUUAGAUACCCUAGUAGUC